RNAcentral lists this microRNA precursor (105 nucleotides) under Medicago truncatula (barrel medic). RNAcentral's name for it is "miRNA gene34685". It matches the Rfam family "MIR2587 microRNA precursor family". The record is from RNAcentral. Lineage: Eukaryota; Viridiplantae; Streptophyta; Magnoliopsida; Fabales; Fabaceae.
UUGUGUUGUCAUGGUCUUUGUUGACUGUUCAUAUAACCCCAGCAAUUGCUUUGCAGCUUAUGCGGGAGAUAUAUAACGGUCAACAGAAACCUUUGACAUCAAAGA